Long non-coding RNA from Salvia miltiorrhiza (redroot sage), 913 nucleotides. RefSeq lists it as uncharacterized. The record is from RefSeq and is a predicted model, not a curated record. NCBI's taxonomy places the organism in Eukaryota, Viridiplantae, Streptophyta, Magnoliopsida, Lamiales, Lamiaceae. The transcript has 2 exons.
UAGAGAAUAAAUCUAGGCCUUUAGAUCUACACAAUCAGAAGGCGGAUUUUAAUUCGAAAAAUUCAGAAAAAAAGAAGGAAAAUCACGUUAAUUAAAGAUUUCAACAUUUGACUACACGGAGGGGUUUUUUCGGGAAUUUACCACUAAGGUAAAUCUGGAAGUUUCCGACUUUCACUCUCUCAAAUCGCUCCAAACCGUCUUCUGUAGAAUAGGGUUUUUUUCGAACAUCCAUAAUCUUAUUUCCAAAGUUUUUCCUGCAGAUUGAAGGCGACAUAUGAAUAUUUUCCUUCAUAUGGGAGACGAUUCGGAAAAAGAUUUGAGAGAGAUUGUCCUUGAGCAAAGUGGUGGCGAUGCCGCAGGGAAUCGAAAGUGGGCAGCGGCGCCACCCUCCAGUUUUCGUCGGAUUUCUCCGCAGUAAGGACAACAUGUGCUCCACAACGCCUCUGGCCCGACUACAUCUGGUUCGGAUCGGUCGUCGGCCACAUUUGGUGGUGCACGAGCACGGCGCACCCUGCCGCUCUGUUCUGCUGCCUGCUCGAGUCGACACUAAUUGACCUCGUUGAUGUUUGGGUGCAGUGAAAUAGGGUGAAGAAUGUGGAGAUUCAAGAACUUUUGCUUCUAUUUGGUUGUUCUCGACUUUUGCUGUGUUAGAGCAUUCUUGUACCAUUAAUGAAGAUUGAAUUAUUGUGUUUGGUUAUGUUAGAAAUUGGGUGAGUGAUUAUGAUAUAAUGGGGGAAGUUUACUGAUUGAGGAGGUUUGCAGAGGAACUCAAACAUGAUUGAGGGGGUGUUGAACGAUCGUCUGGGGAAGAAAGUUCGGGUGAAAGUUCAAGUAUUGUUAUUGACUCGUUCUCGUGUUGUAAUAUUCAAUUAAACUUAAAAUAUAUUCAUUAAGUUUCAUGACUUAUUCAAAA